This 982-nucleotide long non-coding RNA is filed under the name Homo sapiens (human). RNAcentral describes it as "HSALNT0374308". Lineage: Eukaryota; Metazoa; Chordata; Mammalia; Primates; Hominidae. The record is from RNAcentral.
GCAAAGUUUGGGAUCCACAGGCUACAAAACCCCACAGCUCCUAAGAAUUCUCUAACCUGCCUUCUGCUCUUAAGCUCCGGUAGAUUGCAAAUAACCUGCUUUCUUUCUGUUCCCCAGCUGCGUUCGGACCCCUGUCGGAUAGGAAAUCCCAAGUAAGGUACCUGCCAUCGGCAGAUUUGAGCUUUCUUCUUGGACACCUGAUACCCACAGUCCUCCAGGCUCCGGUAGAUUGCAAAUAACCUGCUUUCUUUCUGUUCCCGGGCUGCCUUCGGAACCCUGUGGGAGAGUAAAUCCCUAGUAAGGUACCUGCCGUUGACAGAUUUGAGCUUUCUUCUUGGACACCUAAUACCCACAGUCCUCCAGGUGCUGUUAACUGUCUCCUUUCUCCUCAUGGAUUAGCUCCUCAGAAAUAGCAAACUCCUCCUUUGCUGCCAGACUCCAAGAAUUCAGCAUAUCUGUGUGCGUUAUCUGGCUUCACAAGUAGCCUCCAUGUGAGUGGACUAGGCAGCCUGUAAAGUGAAGGGGAGUUUGUCCCUAUGGGGUGAGAAUGAAACAAUAGGAAACUUCUUAUGACAGACAGUAAAGCAGAUAAAUACCUCCCCAUUUUUCCCUUCUGUUAACUACUCUUCCAUAAACUUUGGUGAAUUCCUGCAUACCACAGGUCUGUUGAGGGACUUUCUAUGCCUCUGCAGUAGAUUGAGGAGCAGUUACCAGCACAGUAAUGCAAUGCAUUCCAUUCUUUUUCAUCUUUCCUUGCUUCCCUUAACUGCUCUUGAAUUGCAUCCUCUAAAUAAAUCAAAUCCUUACCUUUAUACUUGCCUCAGGGUCUGCUGCUUAGAAAUAACUAAGGUAUUUCCUGUGUAUUAUUAGCAUUAUUCUGACAAAAAGUAGCAUAUCAGGGUUUAUUUUUUAUUUUAAUUAUACUUUAAGUUCUGGGAUACAUGUGCAGAAUGUGCAGGUUUGUUACAUAGGUAUACACGUG